Molecule: small RNA, 75 nt
Filed under: Xanthomonas campestris
Lineage: Bacteria; Pseudomonadati; Pseudomonadota; Gammaproteobacteria; Lysobacterales; Lysobacteraceae
Description: sX9 sRNA
Rfam family: Xanthomonas sRNA sX9
Source: RNAcentral
AUGUACCCACGUACACUCCGGUUCCUCCGCGCCGUCCGCACUCACCUGACGGCUGCUCGCUACGUUUUGUUAGAC